GACUUGGUAGCCUAGUUGGUAAAGGCAGAACUUCUAGUAUAGUUUCUUAGAUUCUAGCUAAGGUCGCUGGUUCAAAUCCUGCCCAAGUUU
Molecule: transfer RNA, 90 nt
Organism: Puccinia sorghi
Lineage: Eukaryota; Fungi; Basidiomycota; Pucciniomycetes; Pucciniales; Pucciniaceae
Rfam family: tRNA
About the family: Transfer RNA (tRNA) molecules are approximately 80 nucleotides in length. Their secondary structure includes four short double-helical elements and three loops (D, anti-codon, and T loops).
Source: Rfam